CGUACGGCUCAGUAACACGUAGUCAAUCUACCAUAAAGAGGAGAAUACCCAUGGGAAACUGUGGCUAAUACUCCAUAGGCCAGGGACUCUGGAAGGAACCCUGACUUAAAGGGGUGCGAAUUGGAGCGUUUCCGCUUUACGAUGAGACUGCGGCGGAUCAGGCAGAUGGCGGGGUAACGGCCCACCAUACCUAUAACCCGUAGGGGAUGUGGGAGCAUAGGCCCCGAGAAGGGCACUGAGACAAGGGCCCUAGCACUACGGUGUGCAGCAGGCGCGCAAACUCCACAAUGCGCGUAAGCGUGAUGGGGGGAAUCUGAGUGGUUCACUUUGUGAACCUUUUGCCAAGUAUAGCAAGCUUGGCGAAUAAGUGCUGGGCAAGACCGGUGGCAGCCGCCACGGUAAUACCGGCAGCACAAGUGGUGUCCACGAUUAUUGGGCUUAAAGCGCUCGUAGCCGGCUGAUGCCGUCUCGCGUGAAAUAUAGGCGCUCAACGUCAAUGCGUGCGCGAGAUACCCAUCGGCUAGGGAGCGGGUGAGGUCAGGAGUACUUAUAGGGGAGGGGUUAAAUCCUGUAAUCCUAUAAGGACUAACGGUGGCGAAGGCGCCUGACUAGAACGCAUCCGACGGUGUGGAGCGAAGGCUAGGAGAACGAAUCGGAUCAGAUACCCGAGUAGCCCUAGCAGUAAAUUAUGCAGACUCUGGUGUUGCAAGUAUCAUGAAUGCUUGCAGUACCGUAGCGUAAGUGUUAAGUCUGCCGCCUGGGGGAGUACGGGCCGCAAGGGUUAAAACUUAAAAGCAAUUUGGCGGGGGGUGCACACCAGUCCGCAUUCAUAACGCUAAUAAAAGAUUACAGCCUUAGAAUUGCGAGUAUUAUUCAUUGACCCGGAAACGAGCGAGACCCUCGCUUACAGUUGCUACCUGCUUAGAGAUAAGCAGGGCACUCUGUUAGGACCGCCUUCGUUUAAGGAGGAGGAAGGAGAGGGCGACGAUACGUCAGUAUGCUCUGAAUCUUCUGGGCUACACGCGGCAUACAAAGGUCGGCACAAUGAGAUGCAACACCGAAAGGUGAAGCUAAUCCCCUAAAACCGGCCCAAGUUCGGAUUGAGGGCUGAAACUCGCCCUCAUGAAGCUGGAAUCCCUAGUAAUCGCUUGUCACUAUCGAGCGGUGAAUACGUCCCUGCUCCUUGCACACACCGCCUACCAAGCCACCCAAGUGAGGUCUUAGUGAGGCAGCGCCACUGGCGUUUUCGAACUAAGGUUUCGCGAGGUGGGCUAAGGUAUAACAAGGUAUCCGUAGGGGAACCUGCGGAUAGAUCACCUCAAAAGGGC
Molecule: ribosomal RNA, 1328 nt
Filed under: uncultured Nanobdellati archaeon
Lineage: Archaea; Nanobdellati
Description: uncultured DPANN archaeon partial 16S ribosomal RNA
Rfam family: Archaeal small subunit ribosomal RNA
Source: RNAcentral